GUAGGUAGGAUCACACGCCAGGUUUUACAAACGAGGAGGAACUGGAGGCUUACAGUGAUGUGGGCCCAUAUGGAAGCAGAUGAUAUGUUAAUGAAGUUGAGCCCAGGGAGCCUGAAUUGGAGCCUUGAUUUCAACUAUUAUGCCACAUUGCACCCACUUUAACAGAUACCUUGGGAGGAAGAAAGAGAGGUAAGGAGGGAAGGAGGAAGGGAGAAAGAGGAGGCAUAAAGAGGUAAUGAAACCUAGGAAAUUCCAUGUCUUGGCUUCUCCCACACUAAGCGUUGGACAGACCUCAUCUUGAAUCCUUAUAUAAAGUCUCUGCGCACAGGAAGUUUCCCUGGGAGACAUGGUAGAGGUUUGCUAUAAGUCAUUUGCCGUCAAGAUUAAAGACUCUAAAGUCAGACAAACUCAAGUUCCAAACUUGCAUCUGCCAUUUAAAAGCUAGCAACCUGGGGCUGGCUAUGCACACUGCCUGAGACUCGGUUUUCCUAUGUGCAACAGGGUUGCUAACCCUACUCCCAAGGAUCCUAUAAGCAUCAAAUGGGAUCAGUGUCUUCUGUGCCUGGGUCUUACCAUGCUCUCAGAGUAGGUCACCAUGAUCGUUGCCGUUCUCCAUGCAACUGGUAAGUCUCAGAACCAAGCUCCAAUCCAGGUCCACUUCAAGAGAGUACAGGGGUCAGUUAAAUCAGACUUGAACAUCGGAGCGUGCAGCAGGAUGGCUCUCCAAAGAUGACCACAUCUAAGUCCCAAGAACCUGUGAAUCUGCUAUCUGUGAGACAAGGAGGAAGUAAGAUUGGAGACAGAAUUAAGAUUAUCAUCAGACAACCUUAAAAAGCUUAGCUUGGAUUAUCUCUAGUGUCCUUAAAUUGGAGGAGGAAGCCAGAGAGAAGUUGAGGGGAGCCAUGGCCGAAGAAGAAAGGCACAAGAGAUCCCAGGGUUUGAAAUGAAGGAAGGAGCCGAGAGCCAAGGAACGCGGCUGGCCUCUGCAGCGGGAGAGGUGAGGUGACAGCCUUUCCCCUAGCUCCCUCACAAGGAGGGCAGGCCUGCCUUGGUUUUGAGCCCAGUGAAACUCACGUUGGACUUGGGAGCACUGAAACUGUGAGAUAGUGAACUUGCAUUCUUUUAAGCCGUCAAUUAAUGGAGGCUAUUUGUUACAGCAGCCAUAGAAACUCAUACAGUGGGGCAAGAUUGAGAGGUAAUCUCAGAUUUAAAAAGAGGUGGAAGUCCUGACAACUUGCCUCCGGAGGCAGCUUUGCUUCACUCAACUUCUAAAGAUAAAGCCAGAGGCUUCACUGCUGCCAUGCUGGGGACCCCUGAGUAAAUUUGGGGGUCCUCUCAAGCCUCGAGAGGAAGCGGGCUACUGACAAGUCCCAGAAAAGCCUGAGUGGCCAGUUCCAACUGAGUCAGCAGUGCUGUCCUUGUCUGAGGCCAGGAAAUGGCCUUCCAAACAUGCAGUCCCAGGGCCUAUGGAGUGACUGCUGUUUUUUCCUUCCUAGGAAACAGGAAAUGCAAAUUGUCACCAUUUCAUUCACAACUGGCAGACAUCAGGGCACUGUGGUUUCUCCUCUUCCUUUGCAAGUCUGAGGGCCCUCAGCAAGGGCAGCAGGAGGGGCUGACGCUUGCAGACUGUCUGUGACAAAGGGACAUUUCUCACCUGUUAAGGACAGCUGUCUUUAUCUCUUUAUCUAGAUGAAAGUAUAAUUUACAAACAGAUUCUAGUGUCUCUCAUGCUGAGUUUUGACAACUAUAUGCACCCCUGUCACUGAUGUCCACCUAGAGCAAGUUAUGGGUAUGCUCAGUAGCCCAGAGAGUUCCCUGGGCCCUUUCGGACGUAGGUGAUGCAAAUCACAAAUGCUGCCCCCCCCCCCAAUUAAUGCUGUGCUUUCUGUCACCAUCUGCCCGACGUCUUUUCCAUGGCUUCAUAAGAGUGGAACCCGCAGCCUGGGCACCUUCAUGUUUGUCUUUCACUGCACAAUUUGGAGGCCCACCUGUACACGGGUGAUCCUUUCUAGCCAUUACCAACUAGUAUUCCACGGAUGGGAGGGUGCUUCUCAUUUUUAAGCAUCUGUUUUACUAAUAGUGCCAUCGGGGUGGUUUCUGUUUGUGGCUUUUAUGAAGAAAGCUGCUGAGCACAUUCAGUCUAAAUCUGUGUUGGAGACAAGUUUUCGUUUCUCUUGGGUGAUGCCUAGGAGUAAAAUUUAUAAGAAAAUGCCAAACAGUUCUUCCUCAACAGUGAAUACCCCUGUUCCUCGUUUCUCUUCAUUCUCAUCAACAUUUGUUGGUUUUGUUUUUCUGGGUUUUGGUUUUGGUUUUGGUUUUUUAUACUUUUGGCUAUUCUAAUGAAUGAGAAAUUGUAUCUUCUUAUGAUUUUCAAUUGCACUUCUGAAUCUUUU
RNAcentral lists this long non-coding RNA (2393 nucleotides) under Marmota monax (woodchuck). Lineage: Eukaryota; Metazoa; Chordata; Mammalia; Rodentia; Sciuridae. The record is from RNAcentral.